Molecule: ribosomal RNA, 474 nt
Filed under: Triticum aestivum (bread wheat)
Lineage: Eukaryota; Viridiplantae; Streptophyta; Magnoliopsida; Poales; Poaceae
Description: partial small subunit ribosomal RNA
Source: RNAcentral
AUGAGUAGGGAAGCUUGGCUUGAAGGCCGGUCUGCCAACUCAAAUAGUGACAGAGAGUGUAAAUCCUGGGAGAAGCUGUGGAAGGUAGAUGUGCCAUCAAAAGUAAAGAUCUUCUUAUGGAGACUUGCUCAACAUUCAAUCCCGACGGCGGAUCUUCUUCACCAUCGCAAUAUGUCCACGAGCACCAGAUGUGGAUUAUGUGGUUCUGAGGAUUCAUGGCAGCACUCUAUGCUCCAUUGCACAGUCGCCAUAUGUGUUUGGGCUCUUCAGGAUGCCGACCUUGUUGAAGCUCUGAACAGCACAAGGGUGCCUGAUGCGAAGAGGUGGUUAUUUAUACUGAUCGACAUCUUAUCUCCUAAUGAAUUCGUCCAGGUUGUUGUGACUCUUUGGGCGCUUUGGUAUUCCAGAAGACAAGCAUUGCAUGAAAAUAUCUUCCAAAGGCCACUUUCGACGCACAACUUCAUCUUCAGAUAA